UACGUAGGUGGCGAGCGUUGUCCGGAAUUACUGGGUGUAAAGGGUGCGUAGGCGGGCCGACAAGUUGGAUGUGAAAUCUCCGGGCUCAACCCGGAACGCGCAUUCAAAACUGUUGGUCUUGAGUGAGGUAGAGGUAGGCGGAAUUCCCGGUGUAGCGGUGAAAUGCGUAGAGAUCGGGAGGAACACCAGUGGCGAAGGCGGCCUACUGGGCCUUUACUGACGCUGAGGCACGAAAGCAUGGGUAG
This 245-nucleotide ribosomal RNA is filed under the name uncultured Oscillospiraceae bacterium. Its description in RNAcentral is "partial 16S ribosomal RNA". It matches the Rfam family "Bacterial small subunit ribosomal RNA", at positions 524 to 768 of the family's 1533-position model. Lineage: Bacteria; Bacillati; Bacillota; Clostridia; Eubacteriales; Oscillospiraceae. The record is from RNAcentral.